This 254-nucleotide ribosomal RNA is filed under the name uncultured bacterium. RNAcentral's name for it is "partial 16S ribosomal RNA". It matches the Rfam family "Bacterial small subunit ribosomal RNA", at positions 524 to 776 of the family's 1533-position model. The record is from RNAcentral.
UACGUAGGCAGCAAGCGUUGUUCGGAGUUACUGGGCGUAAAGGGUGUGUAGGCGGUUAUUUAAGUUUGGUGUGAAAUCUCCCGGCUCAACCGGGAGGGUGCGCCGAAUACUGAAUGACUUGGAGUGCGGGAGAGGAAAGUGGAAUUCCUGGUGUAGCGGUGAAAUGCGUAGAGAUCAGGAAGAAUACCCGUGGCGCAAGCGCCCACCUGGCCGAGACCUGACGCUAAGGCACGAAAGCGUGGGGAGCGAACCGG